This 74-nucleotide transfer RNA is filed under the name Histoplasma mississippiense. RNAcentral describes it as "tRNA-Asn (ATT) (tRNA-Asn-ATT-1-1)". The record is from RNAcentral. Lineage: Eukaryota; Fungi; Ascomycota; Eurotiomycetes; Onygenales; Ajellomycetaceae.
UUCUUGGGCGCAAUUGGGUGAGCGCGUUCGACUAUUAUUCGAGAGGUGGGAAGUUUCGAGCCCUCCCCAGGGAG